Molecule: long non-coding RNA, 1546 nt
Organism: Leopardus geoffroyi (Geoffroy's cat)
Lineage: Eukaryota; Metazoa; Chordata; Mammalia; Carnivora; Felidae
Exons: 3
Source: RefSeq, a predicted model, not a curated record
AAAAUCUUUACAAGUAUGUAUAUAUGGUUAUAAGUGCAUGAUAUGCCUCUGAAGCAACUACACAAGAACCUUCGAAGGAACAACGACUGUCUCCAUCGAGGAGAUUCAUGGAUGAGAUGUUCCCAGUGGCUCAUAGCAAUGUGCUGGAACUUCUCAGGAAACCUGGACUUCCACAAAAACCCCCUUGUCCAUGGAUGAUUUUCUAAGACAGUUUUCCAGGAGUUCCUGGACAACAGCUGAAGGGCAAGAACUGUUCAUAAAUCACUGCAGAGUCCACAACUAGGAUAUCCACAAUGUUUGUCUGCCUGUGGGCCAAUGCACAGCUGGGCACAGCUCCUGCCCAUGUUCCUUGGCACAGGUGCUGGAUUCCAUGGCUCCCACAAAGGGACCGUGACGGUGGAUGGAUGCUGAAUUCUUGCUGUUGAAAUGAGGACCAAAAAGAAGAAAUGUCUUCUCCUGCCAUGAUGCCGAUGUCACUCUGAGUCCAGGAUUUUCAUUGGGGGCUGGUCACAUUGGCACUUUUUCCCUACCCAACAAGCCAUGAUUUCCAAAGUUCCAGACUCCCAGAAGAAAAGCAGGUAUUUACUAUGAAUCACAUUGUUUGCACAAACAAUUUUGAUAAGCUGGUACAGCAGGGUUUAGUGCCCAAGGCAUGCAAAACAGUCUUAUGAUUUAGUAACAGGAAAAAUUCCAAAGUCAAGUUUCCAUAUGCCACCCUUACAAGCAAGUUCUUCAAAGGGCAACAUCAGAGCUGCUAUAUUAACUCCUUCCUACACGGGCACACUGGCACUGUUACUACACCCAGCAGAGGUAUUUCCUUUCCUUAGCUACAGUUGAAUCUGGUUGGGAUUUUAUUUCCACAACUUCCAGAAAUAGCCUCAUUACUCUGCCGAGAAACCAGGCACCAGCCCACUAUCUCCAUCUCUUCAGAUGUCUGAGUUUCACUUCUACAAAUCUCUUCCUUAGAGCUUUUAAAUUUUAGUAAUUCCAACCCCGUCUUUGUUCAUCUUGACCUAGGAGUGGUCACUGCUUCCUGAAGUUACUAUUUCUAUAUUUUAUGAUUUUAGUGGGUUUUUUUUCCCUUUCACGUGACACUGUUAACAACCUUAGACUUAGCUUUAAAAUACUGAUGUUCAGUUGUAUCUCUUCAGGUAACUACUGUGCCUUUUGCUAGACCCUGACUGAUACAAAAGCAGAGACCGUCUUCCUUUGGCAGAGAUGGUAGACAAGCAAGAGCCAACAGGAUUUAUUGGUUCCUUACUCACGAUUCUCCCUUUUUGGUACCAGAUUUGUGGUACCAAAUCUGUGGUAAAGCAGCUGUGGUAAUGGCAACAGUGACAGCACCAGCUGCAAAUUUAUUGACCUCUGAUGACACCUAUGGUAGGUGAACUCGAAACAAAAUUUUAGCAUCGGCCUCCCCAAAUCUCCCUUCUCCAGUUCUUCCAAUGACACUUCAAGUGUUUUUGAAGUUUCUUCCUCCUUAUAUCACCUAGAGUAAUUUUUGAUUCCUGUGCUAAAUUUUGAUAGCUCUAUAGGUCUACAAGCU